This 921-nucleotide ribosomal RNA is filed under the name Triticum aestivum (bread wheat). Its description in RNAcentral is "partial small subunit ribosomal RNA". The record is from RNAcentral. Lineage: Eukaryota; Viridiplantae; Streptophyta; Magnoliopsida; Poales; Poaceae.
AUGUUCGAGGGGAUGGAGCGGGCGGGGUACGGCGUGGGCGCCGGGGUGGUGCUGUCGCGGGACCCCAAGCCCCGGCUGCGCUGGACGCCCGACCUGCACGAGCGCUUCGUGGAGGCCGUCACCAAGCUCGGCGGGCCCGACAAGGCGACGCCCAAGUCGGUGCUGAGACUGAUGGGCAUGAAAGGGCUCACCUUGUACCACCUCAAGAGCCAUCUUCAGAAAUACAGGAUGGGAAAGCAGAGCAAGAAAGACACAGGCUUCGAAACCAACAGAGGAGCCUUCGCCGCGCAGGGUAUCAGUUUCUCCUCGGCGGUGCCUCCAAACGUUCCGUCCGCCGGAAACAGCAACAUGGGGAAAUUUUAUACCGACAUCACAAAAUGCUGGAUCAGUCCCGUCAAAGAAAAAUGCUGCAUCAGUCUAUCUAUACCGAAUCAGUUUAUAGAAACGCCACUCGCGGAUGCUUUAAGAUAUCAAAUCGAAGUCCAAAGGAAGCUGCACGAACAGCUCGAGGUUCAGAAGAAGCUGCAGAUGCGCAUCGAGGCGCAAGGGAAGUACCUGCAAACGAUCCUGGAGAAGGCCCAGAAGAACCUCUCCUACGAAGCCGGCGGAGACGCAACCCUAGAGACUACCAGGUCGCAGCUCACCGACUUCAACCUAGCCCUCUCGGGGUUCAUGGACGACGCGACGCAGGCGUGCCAGCAGAACGGCGGGGAGCUGGCCAAGGCCCUCUCCGACGACGGCCUCAGAGCCGGCAACCUGGGCUUCCAGCUCUACCACGGCGGCGACGACGUGAAAUGCGCCACCGACGAGGACCUGCUCCUGCUGGACCUGAACAUCAAAGGAGGGUACGAUCACCGGCUGUCCGCCCACGGCAUGCCGCGCGGCGCGGUGGACCUGACGGUCGGCCAGCACCGGAGGUAA